AAUAUUGCACAAUGGGCGCAAGCCUGAUGCAGCAACACCGCGUGCGCGACGAAGGCCUUCGGGUCGUAAAGCGCUUUUCGGGGAGCUGAGCACGGAGAGUAUCCCCGGACGAAGGAUCGGAUAACUACGUGCCACAAGCCGCGGUAAAACGUAGGAUCCGAGACUUAUCCGAAUUCACUGGGUGUAAAGCGCAUGCAGGCGGCCGCACAAGUUGGCUGUGAAAUCUCCCGGCUCAACUGGGAGGGGACGUUCAAAACUGUGCGGCUCGAGGGCGGUAGAGGAAGGUAGAAUUCCCGGUGUAGUGGUGAAAUGCGUAGAUAUCGGGAGGAAUACCCGUGGCGAAGGCGACCUUCUGGACCGUUUCUGACGCUCAGAUGCGAAAGCUAGGGGAGCGAACGGG
RNAcentral lists this ribosomal RNA (400 nucleotides) under uncultured bacterium. RNAcentral's name for it is "partial 16S ribosomal RNA". It matches the Rfam family "Bacterial small subunit ribosomal RNA", at positions 360 to 776 of the family's 1533-position model. The record is from RNAcentral.